RNAcentral lists this ribosomal RNA (387 nucleotides) under Triticum aestivum (bread wheat). Its description in RNAcentral is "partial small subunit ribosomal RNA". The record is from RNAcentral. Lineage: Eukaryota; Viridiplantae; Streptophyta; Magnoliopsida; Poales; Poaceae.
AUGGCCGCUUCUCAGCUCACCAUCCUCUCCGUCCUCGCGCUCCUGGCCGUGGCCGCCACCGCUCAGGCGCCCGGAGCGGCCCCCGCGGCAGCGCCCCAGGCCCCGCCUCCACCGCCGGCGACCCCGCCCCCGGCAAUGGCGCCCCCUACCCCGGCGCCGGUGUCCCCGCCCCCUACCGCGGCCCCGGCGCCCGCGCCCACCGUCGCCCCCACGCCCUCCGCCACCGCGCCGGCGCCCGCCGACUCCCCGAUGUCCUCCCCUCCGGCGCCCACCCCGGACAUGUCGCCCUCGCCCACCGCCGAGCCCGCCACCCCGGGCAGCGGCGCCGCUGGUCUCCGCCCCGCCUUCGUGCUGGCUGCCGCCGCCGCCGCCAUCUACGUCUUCUAG